GAUGAACGCUGGCGGCGUGCCUAAUACAUGCAAGUCGAGCGAACAGACGAGGAGCUUGCUCCUCUGACGUUAGCGGCGGACGGGUGAGUAACACGUGGAUAACCUACCUAUAAGACUGGGAUAACUUCGGGAAACCGGAGCUAAUACCGGAUAAUAUAUUGAACCGCAUGGUUCAAUAGUGAAAGACGGUUUUGCUGUCACUUAUAGAUGGAUCCGCGCCGCAUUAGCUAGUUGGUAAGGUAACGGCUUACCAAGGCAACGAUGCGUAGCCGACCUGAGAGGGGGAUCGGCCACACUGGAACUGAGACACGGUCCAGACUCCGACGGGAGGCAGAAGUAGGGAAUCUUCCGCAAUGGGCGAAAGCCUGACGGAGCAACGCCGCGUGAGUGAUGAAGGUCUUCGGAUCGUAAAACUCUGUUAUUAGGGAAGAACAAAUGUGUAAGUAACUAUGCACGUCUUGACGGUACCUAAGCAGAAAGCCACGGCUAACUACGG
Molecule: ribosomal RNA, 496 nt
Filed under: uncultured bacterium
Lineage: Bacteria
Description: partial 16S ribosomal RNA
Rfam family: Bacterial small subunit ribosomal RNA
Source: RNAcentral